RNAcentral lists this transfer RNA (72 nucleotides) under Pyrinomonas methylaliphatogenes. RNAcentral describes it as "Acidobacteriaceae bacterium K22 tRNA". It matches the Rfam family "tRNA". Rfam says of the family: Transfer RNA (tRNA) molecules are approximately 80 nucleotides in length. Their secondary structure includes four short double-helical elements and three loops (D, anti-codon, and T loops). The record is from Rfam by way of RNAcentral. Lineage: Bacteria; Pseudomonadati; Acidobacteriota; Blastocatellia; Blastocatellales; Pyrinomonadaceae.
GCGGGUGUGGCGCAACGGUAGCGCAACAGCUUCCCAAGCUGUGGGUUGCGGGUUCGAAUCCCGUCACCCGCU